This 1992-nucleotide long non-coding RNA is filed under the name Limulus polyphemus (Atlantic horseshoe crab). Its description in RNAcentral is "uncharacterized LOC111085337". The record is from RNAcentral. Lineage: Eukaryota; Metazoa; Arthropoda; Merostomata; Xiphosura; Limulidae.
UCAAUUUAUCUUCCAUAGAAAUCCACAUCUCCUCUUCGGAUGAAGAAGAAAUAUCAAAGUCCUUGAUACAAAACGGAAAGAAACAAUGGCCCCCAAACUCCGCAGAAGGCAAACAAAAGACCUCUUUCGAAGACGCAAAAGACAAGAGACUAGGUGGUGAUGUGAAGAUUAGCAAUGAUUAUACCAAGCAGGCAGACAGAACUGGUUACAGCGCUUCCAGCACCUCAGUUUUGGGAGUAUUCAGAAAAGACCAACUUCUACCGAACAUUUUAUACUGGCUGUAUUUUGCGGCGUACUUUCUACUUCAGUUGAAGCCUCUUACCGCUAGAUGGACAAACAGGUGAUAACAAAGUUAGUCAACAGGACACCAGAUGGCAGGUGGAUCGAUCACAGAAGGUUUUGGGACUGGGACCAACGACUGUGGAUAUUUUGAAACCAAAUAAAGACGUGUUGUUUUUCGCAAGAUGCGCGUCGAAUCAAAUUUGCUUUUAAAAUAUCAAUAUCAGAAGUUUAAUUCCUUCUAGAAAAGUAUAAUUUGACUUCAUGGAUCAAAAUGUGGAAAAGAAGAACGGGCAUGCGAUUUUUGACACAUUUUAUAUUAUAUACUUAUGUCAAAAAUGCUCGAAGCAAAAUACGUGUAUAGUAUUCUGGUUCCUGGUAGAAUAUAAGCGAAAUAAGAUAAAGUAAUAUAAAGUGUAGUUUUUAAGGAUACCUAGUUGAAUUUAAAAAGCAUUCUUAAGAAACAACCAGCAGCGUAAACUAUACCCGUUCUCAAAUAAUAUAAUAUUUAGAUAUUUUAGUGUGGUGUUAAUGGUCAUAUUCUAUUUUAUGUUUUACUUUUGGGUUGAUUAAAUCAUGUUCUACUGGUUGUUUUAUCAAUAAGAUAUUGUAAAAGAACAUCUACUUAUAGUUAACGUGAUUUAUGAGAAGCGCCACAUUGGCAUCCGCCAUCUUGGGCGUCUAACCAUGAUAAGUUUUGUGACUUAUCAAAUGUCAGUAAUUUCUAUAAUUAAUAAACAGUAUGAUGCUUAUGCAAUAUUUAGUGACAAAGUUCAAAUUUAUACAAAUAUUACUUAACAGAUCUAUUCUGAUAACCUUCACAAAAUAUGCACUGUAGAUAGGGGAAUACUGUGAAGGUUAUCUCAUAACUUUAUCGUCCCAUACUGAUCUGUUGUUUAUUAUUUAUUACAAGAUACAGAUUACUCUUUGCCAUUUCCAUUCAGUUAACCGUGAUUAUCCACAUGAUUUACGAUGUUUUUUUUGUUUGAUUUAUUGCUUAAUGAAUAAAUAUAUAUUAAUUAUAAAGUUGUACGAUUGUUAACCCACUUAUUGAACUUUAUUUUUUCAAUUACUAGUUUAAGAAUAGAUGUAAGCUACGAAAUUUAGUAUUUCGUAAUUCAAAAGUACUAGAUAUCUGGUUAAUAUAAGUUAUAAGAUUAAUUAAAAUCAUAUCAGUGAAAUAAACAUCAAUAUAAGUACAUUGUGCUAAAUGUGAUCUUCAAAAUUAUCAAAUACUUGGUAAACAACACUAUUUAAACUGUAUUUCAAAGAAAUCUAUCCUAACGUGGUAUACUUAUGAUUUAACAACUUUUCAUUUGUCAAGAAUUUGGCGUUUUAUUGUAUUAGCUAGAGAAUAAAGUUUUACCGUGGGACACAAGUCUUUCUGAAAAUAGCAGUAGUUGUUUAAACACUAAUAACGUGCAAUAUAAGACAGCAACAUUACUUAUAACGCUAAAAAUCGGGGGUUCGAUACCCACGGUAAGCAUAGUACAGAAAGCCCGUUGUGUAGUUUCGCGGUUAACAUAAACAAAAAAAAAAAAACGUAAUAUAAAAAGCGAAAAGACGAGACAGCUUUGGGAGCGUAUUCUUUUCAUGUCAUAAUUCAGUAGGAAAUGUAAGGAAUCCUGCAGUUUGAUAAUCGGUCAAUAUUAUGGCCCGGCAUGGCCAGGUGGUUAAGGCACUCGACUCGCAAUCUGAGGGUCGCGGGUUCGA